CAGUGCACCGCGGCAGCCGCCCUCUAUAAAGGCGGCCUCCUCGGCGGCUCCUCCUCUCACUCCGUUAGCCUGCGCCAUGGAGCCGUGCCGGCGGUCCUCCUCUCUCCGAGUCGCUGGCUAGAUCACUGGACGGACCUGAUGGGAUAAAUCAUCUGAACACCAGAGGCCGAGCCUCUGAGAAGCUGCUCCGGAGCCGACUGAGCCUCUGAGAAGCUGCUCCGGAGCGACGAUGCUGCCGUCAGGCUGAAGGGCCUGUGUCUGCAGCAGCUCGCCUGUAGGGGGCAGUCACCUGUGGAGUCUCUGUGCCAUCCUGCCGUGGAGCUGCGACCACGCCGUCGUCCCGCCUCCAUGGAUGCUUGUGGUUGUUGGUGCCAGUGCCAGCAGAUGAUGCUGCAUGAGCCAGUGUUAUUCUGAACAUCACUGAGGUCCAGCAGUCACAUUGAGGCCUCCUCUUCAGAGACCUGAUGUAUGGAGAACAAGUUCAGACCUGACUUAUCAUGGAAAAUCAAUAAAAAUCAUUCAGUGAAAA
Long non-coding RNA from Salarias fasciatus (jewelled blenny), 529 nucleotides. RefSeq lists it as uncharacterized. Lineage: Eukaryota; Metazoa; Chordata; Actinopteri; Blenniiformes; Blenniidae. The record is from RefSeq and is a predicted model, not a curated record. The transcript is spliced from 5 exons.